Molecule: ribosomal RNA, 497 nt
Filed under: uncultured bacterium
Lineage: Bacteria
Description: partial 16S ribosomal RNA
Rfam family: Bacterial small subunit ribosomal RNA
Source: RNAcentral
GAUGAACGCUGGCGGCGUGCCUAAUACAUGCAAGUCGAGCGAACGGACGAGAAGCUUGCUUCUCUGAUGUUAGCGGCGGACGGGUGAGUAACACGUGUAUAACCUACCUAUAAGACUGGGAUAACUUCGGGAAACCGGAGCUAAUACCGGAUAAUAUUUUGAACCGCAUGGGUCAAAAGUGAAAGACGGUCUUGCUGUCACUUAUAGAUGGAUCCGCGCUGCAUUAGCUAGUUGGUAAGGUAACGGCUUACCAAGGCAACGAUGCAUAGCCGACCUGGUAGGGUGGUCGCCCACACUGGAACUGAGACACGGUCCAGACUCCUACGGGAGGCAGCAGUAGGGUAUCUUCCGCAGUGGGCGGAAGCAUGGCGGAGCAACGCCGCGUGAGUGAUGAAGGUCUUCGGAUCGUAAUGCUCUGUUAUUAGGGAAGAACAUAUGUGUAAGUAACUGUGCACAUCUUGACGGUACCUAAUCAGAAAGCCACGGCUAACUACGUG